This 417-nucleotide ribosomal RNA is filed under the name Atypoides gertschi. Its description in RNAcentral is "partial 12S ribosomal RNA". Lineage: Eukaryota; Metazoa; Arthropoda; Arachnida; Araneae; Antrodiaetidae. The record is from RNAcentral.
CCAAAUCAUCAUGGCGGCCAUUUCCCAUUCAGAGGAACUUGUCUCAUAAUCGAUACCCCUCGUUUAAUUUCACUUUUAUUUUUAUGUUUUUAUACCGCCGUUUAAACUAUUCUAAAAAAAUUAGUUAAAAAAGACUCAUAAUUUUUAUUUCUACAAUUUCAGGUCAAGGUGAAGCUUUCUAUAAAGAGAAGAUUAGUUACUCAUUAAAUUUAAUUAAAUGAAAUAAUUAAAAAAUAUUUUAUCUAAACAGGAUUUGAAAGUAAUUAGUUUAAUAAAAAUAUACACUGAAAUUUUUAAAUGGUGUACAUAUCGCCCGUCACCCUUAUCUAAAGAUAAGGUAAGUCGUAACACAGUUGAAAUAUUGGAAAAUGUUUCAAGAGAUCUAAUAAACUUAUAGUAAUUCAUUUACACUGAAUC